RNAcentral lists this ribosomal RNA (422 nucleotides) under uncultured bacterium. RNAcentral describes it as "bacterial SSU rRNA". It matches the Rfam family "Bacterial small subunit ribosomal RNA", at positions 355 to 776 of the family's 1533-position model. The record is from RNAcentral.
UGAGGAAUAUUGGUCAAUGGACGAGAGUCUGAACCAGCCAAGUCGCGUGAAGGAAGACGGAUCUAUGGUUUGUAAACUUCUUUAGUGCGGGAACAAAGCGGUGUCGUGACGCCGGAUGAGUGUACCGCAAGAAUAAGCAUCGGCUAACUCCGUGCCAGCAGCCGCGGUAAUACGGAGGAUGCGAGCGUUAUCCGGAUUUAUUGGGUUUAAAGGGAGCGCAGGCUGCGAGGCAAGUCAGCGGUCAAAUGUCGGGGCUCAACCCCGGCCUGCCGUUGAAACUGUCCUGCUAGAGUUCGAGUGAGGUAUGCGGAAUGCGUUGUGUAGCGGUGAAAUGCAUAGAUAUGACGCAGAACUCCGAUUGCGAAGGCAGCAUACCAACUCGCGACUGACGCUGAGGCUCGAAAGCGUGGGUAUCGAACAGG